RNAcentral lists this transfer RNA (72 nucleotides) under Podarcis lilfordi (Lilford's wall lizard). It matches the Rfam family "tRNA". From Rfam's summary of the family: Transfer RNA (tRNA) molecules are approximately 80 nucleotides in length. Their secondary structure includes four short double-helical elements and three loops (D, anti-codon, and T loops). The record is from Rfam by way of RNAcentral. Lineage: Eukaryota; Metazoa; Chordata; Lepidosauria; Squamata; Lacertidae.
GGGGCUGUGGCUCAGUGGCAGAACACCUGCCUUGCAAGCAUAAGGUCUCGGGUUCAAUCCCUAGCAUCUCCA